Molecule: long non-coding RNA, 2515 nt
Filed under: Carassius auratus (goldfish)
Lineage: Eukaryota; Metazoa; Chordata; Actinopteri; Cypriniformes; Cyprinidae
Description: lncRNA (ENSCARG00000032955.1)
Source: RNAcentral
UAUUUUGAAGAAGAACACCAUGACCUUCAUCAAAUUAAAAUAUCUUGUGUUUGUGUCCGAGUCGAACGGUGGCAGGUAAAAGAAAAGAGUAAAAAAUAAACCCUGGACAAUCUUCCUAAGACAUACGUCUGCAGGAGCCUUGAUGAUUAUAAAUAUGCUUUAUCUUUAUCAAAGUAUUAGUUCAUCAAGCCUUGUGUUCAACUCCAUAUUUAUACUGAAAUCGAGUGACAGCUGAUUGGUUGAUUGACAAAUGUCUUCACACACAAAGUGCUUCAUAUUCAAACACAGUUUAGAUUAACACUCAUAUAACUGUAUUGUUUGUGUGAGAGGAAUCAAACAAUCAAAUCCUGCGAUCGUUUACUCUUCCUCAGCCUGAACAAGUGUUUUUUUUUUCUGUUGAACACUAAAGAAGAUGAUUUUUUGAGAGCGAACCGUUGACGGCACCCAUUGACUUCUGUGCUACAGGAAGAAAUACUAUGGAAGUGAAUGGGUACCAUCAACCGUUUGGUGUUUAAAGCAUCAUCUUUUUAGCAUUCAGCAGAAGACAGAAACUCGUACAAAACAUAUAUAAUUUUUACAUUUUAUUUAAAAAAAUAAAUAUGUAAAAUAAGCACACACAGUUAAACUUUUAUUCCUAACUAAUAAUUCAUUCCCAAAGCACAACCCAUUCUCACUCCAAAGGCGUCAAAAACCGAAGCAUGGUCAAGCGCCCCUAGCGUCACUUUUAUGACGCCAAAUGUGCCUCUCGGCGUCGACUAUCGAAGCACUACGACCUUCAUUGCUUUCAGUGGGAAACUUUUGGCGUCAGAAUUCGACACGAGGACAUGAGAUGUUUAUCGCUAUGAAAUCACGUUCAAGAAGUCUCAUUCAGCACACAUCGCGCGAUACUUGCUAUCAGUUCCACAGUUUGGCUGAAAAGACGUAAAGGCAGUCAGCCCAGUGGUGUUUCUGGAGAGGGAUUCCUUCAGAAAUGGAGAAGACAGAAAGCUGCGGAGGCAGAUAUUUGCAGCAGUAAGUCUGUGAUAGUUUGUCUCUUUUAUCAAAAAUUCCUGCUGUUAUAAUUUGUACAGCAUUUGUUGUUUCUUAAACUGUUGCACUGUCCAAAUACCCACACUUGCCAUCUUUUCACUUGACCACUUGAUUACUUAUUUGACGUCUUUCCUGUAUUUGGCCUAGUGUUCGAGUGAGCAUGAUGACCACAAGUGUGUGUCAAACUUUUCAUGACCUGAUGACUGUGUUUCCCAAUCCUGAUCCUGGAGAACCCCAGCACUGCACGGUUUUGGCGUCUCUCUUAUCUGCCUUGGAGUCUUCACUGAUGAGCUGAUGAGUUGAAUCAGGUGUGUUUGAUCAGGGAGACAUCUCAAAUGUGCAGUGUUGGGGUUCUCCAGGACCAGGAUUGGGAGCCACUGCCUUAUGGGACACUUAUGUGUUUUAAAGAGAUUUUUAAUAUCUAAUUAUCAAUAUUUCACAUACUGUACAUUGGACAGCUUUCCAUGACCUCUUGUGAGAUCUCGGCAAAAAGUCUCACAUUAAUUCCAAAACAUGAUGCAUGAUGGGAUACACUAAGCUUUGUAUAGCGCUCCGGAGCAGUAUUGGAGAGGUUUAGUGUGUGUUAAGGACGCUGUGCUUUGGCAUUAUUAAGACCGGGGACAGUCUUGUGCACACACUGUCACGUACACACACUCUCAAGUGGCCAAGACUGCAAGUGUGGGUAUCUGGACAGGGUCAAAGUCUUAAAAAUGAUCCCUAAACACAUCACAGUCUUAAUAAUCCAGUUUAACACUUGUAUGAUAUUGUACAAGCCCCAGGACGGUCUCAUCUGACACUAUCAAAAGAAUUCAUAUGACUAUAGCUUGUUAUUAAUUACUUGCUUUCAAUAAUGGAUUCAUUUAACAUUUAAUUAUACAGCAUCUUUACAGAGGUGUAAUGUACAAGCUGCACGUAAUUAAUAAUAUGUCCUUCCUUCUGUCUUACAGGAUUUUUUCCAGAUAAUGCUGUUCUUCUUUUUCAGGUCUAAAAUAUCGAGCUCAACAGCUAUUUUAAGAGCCAACCCUCACAAACCUUCCCAAAAACUAAAAGAGCUAUUACUGAGUCUCAGCGAAUCUUGCCAUGAUCAGCUCUUCCCAGGUACAUUUGUUUAGAAUAUUUUUUAAUCAACAUUUACUCAUCAAAUGCUCUGGUCUGAAUCUUACUUUAAAUUAACUUAAUUAUGUUUAAUGAGCAAUAUUAAUUGCACAGAGAGUAAGUAGAGAUUUUCUUGUUUCACAGAAGAGAAGGAAGACCAAGGAAAUUAUUUGCUCAGGAUGAGGAAUGAAGAUGGCCAUUUUGUGCUCAAACAAACAGAAGUCCUCUGGUAUGUGUGUGUUGAAGCAAUGUUAUACAACAUUUUAUGAUGAUCUCUCACAGAACUGGUCAUGUCAGCCUUGAUUUCGUUUUAUACUAUUACAAUUACAGCAUGUUAGCAAAGUGUGACUGGACAUUUUUAAUAUUAUGUUUUUAAAAACACACCACCUGU